CUGAAUUUAAAAUCCAAGUAAUAAUUCUAGAAUUAUUAACUCUCCAUUUCGCUUUUUCUUUAUCAUCUGUAGGUUCUUCCAACGAACCACCCAAAACAUUCAAAAGUUCCUUCCCUUCAAUAAAAAUACAAAAAUGACCAUAGAGCAUAAUUCACACUAGGUAAGAUGGAUAAAAUGAGUAGCGACAUCAGAAAAGGUAUAAAGCAUUCCACAAUAC
This 217-nucleotide unclassified non-coding RNA is filed under the name Hevea brasiliensis (rubber tree). The record is from RNAcentral. Lineage: Eukaryota; Viridiplantae; Streptophyta; Magnoliopsida; Malpighiales; Euphorbiaceae.